AGAGUUUGAUCCUGGCUCAGGACGAACGCUGGCGGCGUGCUUAACACAUGCAAGUCGAACGGUGAAGCCCUUCGGGGUGGAUCAGUGGCGAACGGGUGAGUAACACGUGGGCAAUCUGCCCUGCAUUCUGGGACAAGCCUUGGAAACGUGGUCUAAUACCGGAUACGACGCAUCUCCGCAUGGAGUGUGCGUGGAAAGCUCCGGCGAUGCAGGAUGAGCCCGCGGCCUAUCAGCUUGUUGGUGGGGUAAUGGCCUACCAAGGCGACGACGGGUAGCCGGCCUGAGAGGGCGACCGGCCACACUGGGACUGAGACACGGCCCAGACUCCUACGGGAGGCAGCAGUGGGGAAUAUUGCACAAUGGGCGAAAGCCUGAUGCAGCGACGCCGCGUGAGGGAUGACGGCCUUCGGGUUGUAAACCUCUUUCAGCAGGGAAGAAGCGCAAGUGACGGUACCUGCAGAAGAAGCACCGGCUAACUACGUGCCAGCAGCCGCGGUAAUACGUAGGGUGCGAGCGUUGUCCGGAUUUAUUGGGCGUAAAGAGCUCGUAGGCGGCUUGUCGCGUCGGAUGUGAAAGCCCGGGGCUUAACUCCGGGUCUGCAUUCGAUACGGGCAGGCUAGAGUGUGGUAGGGGAGAUCGGAAUUCCUGGUGUAGCGGUGAAAUGCGCAGAUAUCAGGAGGAACACCGGUGGCGAAGGCGGAUCUCUGGGCCAUUACUGACGCUGAGGAGCGAAAGCGUGGGGAGCGAACAGGAUUAGAUACCCUGGUAGUCCACGCCGUAAACGUUGGGAACUAGGUGUGGGUCACAUUCCACGUGGUCCGCGCCGCAGCUAACGCAUUAAGUUCCCCGCCUGGGGAGUACGGCCGCAAGGCUAAAACUCAAAGGAAUUGACGG
Molecule: ribosomal RNA, 894 nt
Filed under: uncultured bacterium
Lineage: Bacteria
Description: bacterial SSU rRNA
Rfam family: Bacterial small subunit ribosomal RNA
Source: RNAcentral